CUCUUCCGCCAUACCUCCCCGAACACACCCAGUCUCAUCUGAUCUCAGAAGCUAAGCAGGGUCAGGCCUGGUUAGUACUUUGGUGGGAGGCA
Molecule: ribosomal RNA, 92 nt
Filed under: Nannospalax galili (Upper Galilee mountains blind mole rat)
Lineage: Eukaryota; Metazoa; Chordata; Mammalia; Rodentia; Spalacidae
Source: RNAcentral